AGUGAACGCUGGCGGUAGGCCUAACACAUGCAAGUCGAACGGCAGCACAGUAAGAGCUUGCUCUUACGGGUGGCGAGUGGCGGACGGGUGAGGAAUACAUCGGAAUCUACUUUUUCGUGGGGGAUAACGUAGGGAAACUUACGCUAAUACCGCAUACGACCUACGGGUGAAAGCAGGGGAUCUUCGGACUUUGCGCGAUUGAUUGAGCCGAUGUCGGAUUAGCUAGUUGGCGGGGUAAAGGCCCACCAAGGCGACGAUCCGUAGCUGGUCUGAGAGGAUGAUCAGCCACACUGGAACUGAGACACGGUCCAGACUCCUACGGGAGGCAGCAGUGGGGAAUAUUGGACAAUGGGCGCAAGCCUGAUCCAGCCAUACCGCGUGGGUGAAGAAGGCCUUCGGGUUGUAAAGCCCUUUUGUUGGGAAAGAAAAGCAGCAGGUUAAUACCCCGCUGUUCUGACGGUACCCAAAGAAUAAGCACCGGCUAACUUCGUG
This 492-nucleotide ribosomal RNA is filed under the name uncultured bacterium. RNAcentral's name for it is "partial 16S ribosomal RNA". It matches the Rfam family "Bacterial small subunit ribosomal RNA", at positions 29 to 507 of the family's 1533-position model. The record is from RNAcentral.